RNAcentral lists this ribosomal RNA (254 nucleotides) under uncultured bacterium. Its description in RNAcentral is "partial 16S ribosomal RNA". It matches the Rfam family "Bacterial small subunit ribosomal RNA", at positions 524 to 776 of the family's 1533-position model. The record is from RNAcentral.
UACGUAGGGUGCAAGCGUUAAUCGGAAUUACUGGGCGUAAAGCGUGCGCAGGCGGUUUUGUAAGUCUGAUGUGAAAUCCCCCGGGCUCAACCUGGGAAUUGCGUUGGAGACUGCAAGGCUGGAGUCUGGCAGAGGGGGGUAGAAUUCCACGUGUAGCAGUGAAAUGCGUAGAGAUGUGGAGGAACACCGAUGGCGAAGGCAGCCCCCUGGGUCAAGACUGACGCUCAUGCACGAAAGCGUGGGGAGCAAACAGG